UACAGAGGGGGCAAGCGUUGUUCGGAAUUACUGGGCGUAAAGGGCGCGUAGGCGGCCUGUUAAGUCGAACGUGAAAUCCCUGGGCUCAACCCAGGAAUUGCGUCCGAUACUGGCAGGCUUGAAUCCGGGAGAGGGAUGUGGAAUUCCAGGUGUAGCGGUGAAAUGCGUAGAUAUCUGGAGGAACACCGGUGGCGAAGGCGGCAUCCUGGACCGGUAUUGACGCUGAGGCGCGAAAGCCAGGGGAGCAAACGGG
RNAcentral lists this ribosomal RNA (253 nucleotides) under uncultured bacterium. Its description in RNAcentral is "partial 16S ribosomal RNA". It matches the Rfam family "Bacterial small subunit ribosomal RNA", at positions 524 to 776 of the family's 1533-position model. The record is from RNAcentral.